Molecule: long non-coding RNA, 1064 nt
Organism: Lycium barbarum (goji berry)
Lineage: Eukaryota; Viridiplantae; Streptophyta; Magnoliopsida; Solanales; Solanaceae
Exons: 2
Source: RefSeq, a predicted model, not a curated record
UUCCAUACCAACCAAAAGAUCCCCUAACUCCUUUCCCCUUCAACCAACAGCUAACCAAACGACGCCGCCAUCCCACCCCGUCACGUCACUUCCAUCACCUCGUCAGCACUACCACGCCGUCGGACCGCUGGGUUAACGUGGUCAGCGACGCCACUGGCCUCACAAGUCACCUUUUCUCCCAUCACCCAUCUCCCUUUUUCUUAAAUAAAGCUUGACGACUCGUAAAAAGGUCAAUUGAGACCUCUGAGAACGGGAAAGAGCGAAUCCACAGCCAUCAAACCCAUUUGAAAAGGUUAAAAUCCGUCACUUUUUCUUCAUUUUUCCUCUUUUCGAAGUUUCAGAUUUUUCCCCCUCUUUUGAUUCGAAAUUUAAAGGCAAAUUUCCCUUUGAAGAAGCUGUUGAAACCCUCAGUGUUUACCUAUAAAUACAGGCCUUCCUUGGCUGUUUUGAAAUAAGUUUGAGAGGAGAGAAAAUCCCAUUUAAGUAAACAAGUUUCAAGUGUAGAAAAUCCCCUUUAAGUUAACAAGUUCAAGUGUUAAAAAAUUACCUCUUGAACAAAUGUUUUCACUACUGAAAACUAAGUUUGGAUUUUCAGAAAAUACUAUUCCUAACUCUAAGUUUUUUGGUUGUCGAAAUCCCCUCCUUCGGUUCUCGACUGAGCAAGGACCACUCUGAGCGGAUUCGGAGACUCGACGACGACAAUAGCUUCAGUUUGCUGUCACAAAGAAGGAACCUUGGGAGCAUUUGGAGUUAUGGCAACUUCAGAUUCUGCCCAUAUCAGAGAACAGCCAGUUGCAGGAUUUAAUUGCUCGUGUCUAGCGUCCCCGUCUUCUUUCCUCUCUUUAAAUUUCGUGUCUUCGUGUUAUCAUGUAUAUACAUGUUUAUAGUCUUGACUAACAUUUUUUUAUGGAUUGUAUUUGUAGCACAUUCGUUUCUCGCUUAUGUAGGAACUUAUGGAAAAUAGUUAGUAUGAUGGUAAAUUUAGUCACUACUUUUCCUCUCCCCUUGAAUAAUUAAUCUUGGCUUACGCGUGUUAGAAAUAAUAAUUGCCCAUUUUUUUUUUU